CGUUAAAAAUUUCAUCUAAUUGUACUGUUAAAAACCCGGCUAACGGAAUAACAAGACAAUGACAUGUGACGUGCUAUAUGUAUCUUAUGUUGACAUAUAGAGACCAAUGUAUAAUACUAAAAUGAAUGAAAGUUUUAAUA
RNAcentral lists this microRNA precursor (140 nucleotides) under Gossypium hirsutum (cotton). RNAcentral's name for it is "MIR7502 microRNA precursor family". It matches the Rfam family "MIR7502 microRNA precursor family". The record is from Rfam by way of RNAcentral. RNAcentral also lists the same sequence under 1 other name. Lineage: Eukaryota; Viridiplantae; Streptophyta; Magnoliopsida; Malvales; Malvaceae.